Long non-coding RNA from Bufo bufo (common toad), 230 nucleotides. RefSeq lists it as uncharacterized. NCBI's taxonomy places the organism in Eukaryota, Metazoa, Chordata, Amphibia, Anura, Bufonidae. The record is from RefSeq and is a predicted model, not a curated record. The transcript is spliced from 3 exons.
UAUUAAAUUUCCCAUUCUCUUUUUAUUAAGGCUGAGUUCACACUUGAGUUAUUUGAUCAGUUAUUUCCAUCAGUUAUUGUGAGCCAAAACCAGUAGUGAAGCCUACACAGCGAUAAGGUAUAAUGGGAAAAUGUCCUCCUGUUCUUUAUUAUUUUUUUUUGACCUGCACCUGGUUUUGGCUCACAAUAGCUGAUGGAAAUAACUGAACAAAUAACGGAAGUAUGAACUCA